GAUGAACGCUGGCGGCGUGCCUAAUACAUGCAAGUCGAGCGAACAGACGAGGAGCUUGCUCCUCUGACGUUAGCGGCGGACGGGUGAGUAACACGUGGAUAACCUACCUAUAAGACUGGGAUAACUUCGGGAAACCGGAGCUAAUACCGGAUAAUAUAUUGAACCGCAUGGUUCAAUAGUGAAAGACGGUUUUGCUGUCACUUAUAGAUGGAUCCGCGCCGCAUUAGCUAGUUGGUAAGGUAACGGCUUACCAAGGCAACGAUGCGUAGCCGACCUGAGAGGGUGAUCAGCCACACUGGAACUGAGACACGGUCCAGACUCCUACGGGAGGCAGCAGUAGGGAAUCUUCCGCAAUGGGCGAAAGCCUGACGGAGCAACGCCGCGUGAGUGAUGAGGGUCUUCGGAUCGUAAAACUCUGUUAUUAGGGAAGAACAAAUGUGUAAGUAACUAUGCACGUCUUGACGGUACCUAAUCAGAAAGCCACGGCUAACUACGUG
This 497-nucleotide ribosomal RNA is filed under the name uncultured bacterium. RNAcentral describes it as "partial 16S ribosomal RNA". It matches the Rfam family "Bacterial small subunit ribosomal RNA", at positions 28 to 507 of the family's 1533-position model. The record is from RNAcentral.